The sequence is a small nucleolar RNA, 107 nucleotides long. It matches the Rfam family "A. fumigatus snoRNA Afu_514". The record is from Rfam.
CAAAAUGAUGCGGUAAUUUGCGGUUGAUCCGUUUUCUGUGAAGCUCUCGCCGGAGUUUCUGCAAGCAGUUUUCGGCUGUGAUAUUCCUUUUCUUACAUAUUCUGAAC